AUUUCGCAAACGGAUGUACCGCCGACCCGUCGAAUAUCAUUAGCUUCUUUGUUUUCCGCCGUAACAUCCCCGACAGUCGAUAGAAUUUCACGUCAACGUUACAAAGGCAUUACAUCGAGAUUGCAAUUCAGACCUUUUCCAUACGAUCCAAACAAGGAAUUUCGAUCUGCCCUCAAGACGCAGACCGCGACAUCGAUCACGACGAAAUACAACGUAAACACGAUUUCUGCCGUAAAAACCAACAACAUGACAAUCGAGAAGAAGUAAACAAAGAAACUAGAAAUCAGAAACAAACUAUUAAUAUAGUUCGUGACCAUUAAACUUUGUCGACAAAAAGAAAU
Molecule: unclassified non-coding RNA, 341 nt
Filed under: Bombus terrestris (buff-tailed bumblebee)
Lineage: Eukaryota; Metazoa; Arthropoda; Insecta; Hymenoptera; Apidae
Description: misc RNA ENSBTSG00005036693.1
Source: RNAcentral